UGUAACCACCACGCAUGCGCCAGUAGCGUGAGUCAGCAUUAUAAACAAUACGCAUGCGUGGGCAGAAUGAAAAGGACAAGUGCCCAAAGCCGGCGGCGUGCCAUCUUGUUGAACUAUAGUAAAGUGCUGUUUUGCUCCAUGCAGUCUGUUUCACGGUAUGGCGGCGCCUCGCACAUUUUUCCAGGAGGGCAUUUGCUUCUUCCCGCUUGGGCACGGCCAUGAGGCUUAAACAGCCAACUCCCAGCACUGGGCACUUGACAACCAUCAUCUUACUUGCUCCUUGCAAAACCCCAUGAAGAAAGCAUUACUCUCCCCAACACAGAGACGAAGAAGCAGGACAGAGAAGGAAUCCCCAAAAUACAAUUAAACAUCUUCCUCAGUGGAACAGAAAAUCAAUAGCUUUGACCUGGUGCCGCAAAGCCCAUCCUCCGGCCAUCCCUGUAGGCAUGCUGCUGCCAUGGCGACCCCAAGUGACUUAGCUGCCAAUACUCCUGCAGGGAAGCAAUACGACAACUCCAGAAGGCAAAAAACUCCACCAGACAACUCUUUCAGCCUCCUCAGCAAGUCAUCAUCAUGGAAGGAAAAGUGCGGAUGGAAACAGUUCCAGAUUCCACAAGGCUGAAGAGAUGUAACAAAUGCCAUGUGUGGGCCUUCACUGGAUGCUAUUUUGAGCAAACCAACUAGAAAGGACGCCGCCUGUGAUACAAAUGGAGAAUUUAGAUAUGGAUUGGGUAUCUUAUGAUAUAAAGGAAUAAUGUUAAUUUGCUAGGGAUUGUGGUUAUAUAUCCUUAAUUUUUAGAGAUGACAACUGUAGUAUUUAGGGAGUGAAAUGUCAUGAUGUUGAAAUUUGCCUUUUAAAAAAAAUCAGAAAAAAAAUAUAGCUGAAGCAAAUAUGGCAGAUUGUUAACCAUUGCUGUCUAGAUGUGUAUAUGGGGGUUCAUUUUACUAGUUCCUCUCUCUUCCAUGUGCAAAUUUACAUUAAAAAACUUUUAAAGCCAGGAAAUUGUAAAAUCUGCAAUGAUAAUCCAAAAGAAUUAUUCAAAGAUUUUCAAAGAGAUGUUUGAAUAAAUUAAUAAGUAUAAAUAAUUUUUAACAAUUCUGAGUUCUGUAUUAAAGUACAGGAGCUGUGUCAACUUCUAUAGGAGACAUGUGUAUGACAAAAAUGACAGCCAGAAUAUUGUUGAAUUUUGUAUCGCAUUCCAGAGAACUGUUCUUUUUUUUAAAUAAAAAGAAUUUAAUUUAUAUGGAAUCACAAAAGACCCAGAAUUGCCAAAGCAGUACUAAAGAAAAAGGAUGAAGCAGGAGGCAUAAUCCUCCUAGACUUCAGACAAUACAACAGGGCUACAGUAAUCAAAACAACAAGAUAUGGGCACAAAAACAGAUACAUGGAUCAAUGGAACAGAAUAGAGACCCAGAAAUAAACCCACACGCUUAUGGUCAAUUAAUUUUCGACAAAGGAGGCAAGAAUAUACAGUGGAGAAAAGACAGUCUCUUUGGCAAGUGGUGCCUACAGAAGUUGAGUAGGUUCAUGCUCUUUCUCUCUCAUUUGUCCAAAUUUGAUUUUGGCAAAUAUGAAGACUUGGAAGCAGAAAACCCAUUUCCAUGUUUAGAGCACAGAAUUUCUUCCUUUUAAAAAUGAAGCUCAGAACCCCCUAGGAGAGCAUUAGAAGGACAGUCUGCAGGUUGGCAGGGGCGAACAACAGAAUGGACUAAGCUGGUCCAACUCCGUCCUUUGCAUUUCAGAUUUCUCUGGGGAGCUUCUUUUUUUAGAGGACCUAUUUCUUCUGAAAGCUCUAAGUGUGAACAGGAACCCCUGUGCAUUUUGUUUUAGAGUUAGGGCACCGUAAACCAAGGAAGUUAGGGAACCUUUGUCUUAAGCACAUUUGUAGAUUGGUAAAAGAGGCCAUGAUGUAGAAAAUACAAGGACCAUGCCAGGAGGGGUGGAAUCAUUUGCACAAAGCAGUUAGUCAUGGAAAAGAAGAAUUAUUUUAUUUUUCUUCUAAGGCAGAAAUAAAUAAGAUAAAUUAAAAAAAAAACAGGCAAAGAUGAAGGUACAAGGAUAAAGACGAAAGUGUGAGACAAAAGAAGGAAGCUGAGGAGCCUAUUCUGUAGGACCACGGUAUUCUUCAAAGAAUGAGGGAGCAUCAGAGUGGAUCAGAGCAUCAGAAGUGGAGAGAGAAGACAAGGAAAUCUGCAGACUUGGAGUACCGUGGGGCUUGAUUUAAUUUUUCUCUGAUUAGUUAUUGAAUGAAAAAUUGAACCCAGCAAUGCUAUAUUUUUUCUUU
Molecule: long non-coding RNA, 2285 nt
Organism: Camelus dromedarius (Arabian camel)
Lineage: Eukaryota; Metazoa; Chordata; Mammalia; Artiodactyla; Camelidae
Exons: 4
Source: RefSeq, a predicted model, not a curated record